This 797-nucleotide ribosomal RNA is filed under the name uncultured fungus. RNAcentral describes it as "LSU rRNA". It matches the Rfam family "Eukaryotic large subunit ribosomal RNA", at positions 93 to 729 of the family's 3401-position model. The record is from RNAcentral. Lineage: Eukaryota; Fungi.
GUGAAGCGGCAACAGCUCAAAUUUGAAAUCUGGCUCUUUUAGAGUCCGAGUUGUAAUUUGCAGAGGGCGCUUUGGCUUUGGCAGCGGUCCAAGUUCCUNGGAACAGGACGUCACAGAGGGUGAGAAUCCCGUACGUGACUUGGAGUUCGCCGCGUACGAUUCGUGUUCGCAGAGUCGCGUUGUUUGGGAUUGCAGCGCUAAAUGGGUGGUAAAUUUCAUCUAAAGCUAAAUAUCGACGAGAGACCGAUAGCGAACAAGUACCGUGAGGGAAAGAUGAAAAGAACUUUGAAAAGAGAGUUAAAAAGUACUUGAAAUUGCUAAGAGGGAAGCACUGGAAACCAGUCGUGACCUGCGUGUAUAUUUAGCAUAUGCGUCUGGAUCCGCGUAGUGUUGGGAGCCAAAAGCCUCAUAGCUAUUCGGUGAAUUGCGUGUUAGCGACCUGUACUGUGGGUUGAGUCAGAAUCAAUUCGAGUCGUGAGAGAAAGCUAUCGUAACGGUAGGACCGCGGGGGCAACUCCAAGGUCUGUUUAGUAUGGUAGUGCUAUCAUGGAUUGGAUUGAGGGACAAUCAACAACGCGCCCCGCAUGGGAUGCGCUCCCCGACCCUUGAUGAUCAGAAGGUUUGGACAACAAAGUUGUGCUAUCUUCGAAGUUAUCUACUGGAAAGGAUGAGCGACAAGCAGCGUUCGAGAUUCUGACGAAAUGGUUUUCAUUGACCCGUCUUGAAACACGGACCAAGGAGUCUAACAUAUAUGCGAGUAUUUGGGCCUGGAAACCCUUAUGCGCAAUGAAAGUGAA